GGCUACACCUAGGAUCAGGUCUCUCUUUAUUACUAUGUUCAAACUUGACUUGUUCUUCUCCCAAGUGUUAUGCCUUUCAGACGUUGGCCCACCUUACUCCAAGGGAUCUUAUCUGGUUCCUCAAGAUUGGCCAAAACAACUUUGGCCAAUUUAGGUUGGGUAAAGAAAAUGGAUCGGAUUCAUUAAGGGAUAUGUCCAGCAUUGAUGGGAAGUAAGCACACAAAGUAAGCCUUGCCAUUUUCUUAUAUUUGGUUUAGCACGGGGCAUAAUGGGUCGACACGCAAGAUGCUCACUUCACUACUGAUUUAGGCUAAUGGGUCCCUCACCGUCAUGGACCCACUAAAGUGUCAAGACAUUCUGCCCAUCAUAAUCUAUUGUCGGUGAUAGUGGGGGCAUGAUGAAUGUAGCAAGUUGGGGGGUUG
RNAcentral lists this long non-coding RNA (422 nucleotides) under Elaeis guineensis (African oil palm). Its description in RNAcentral is "long non-coding RNA (EGUI_LNC063667)". The record is from RNAcentral. Lineage: Eukaryota; Viridiplantae; Streptophyta; Magnoliopsida; Arecales; Arecaceae.